Molecule: ribosomal RNA, 1949 nt
Filed under: metagenome
Also listed under: 1 other name
Description: bacterial LSU rRNA
Rfam family: Bacterial large subunit ribosomal RNA
Source: RNAcentral
UUAAGCGACUAAGCGUACACGGUGGAUGCCCUGGCAGUCAGAGGCGAUGAAGGACGUGCUAAUCUGCGAUAAGCGUCGGUGAGGUGAUAUGAACCGUUAUAACCGGCGAUUUCCGAAUGGGGAAACCCAGUGUGUUUCGACACACUAUCAUUAACUGAAUCCAUAGGUUAAUGAGGCGAACCGGGGGAACUGAAACAUCUAAGUACCCCGAGGAAAAGAAAUCAACCGAGAUUCCCCCAGUAGCGGCGAGCGAACGGGGAGGAGCCCAGAGCCUGAAUCAGUGUGUGUGUUAGUGGAAGCGUCUGGAAAGGCGCGCGAUACAGGGUGACAGCCCCGUACACAAAAAUGCACAUACUGUGAGCUCGAUGAGUAGGGCGGGACACGUGGUAUCCUGUCUGAAUAUGGGGGGACCAUCCUCCAAGGCUAAAUACUCCUGACUGACCGAUAGUGAACCAGUACCGUGAGGGAAAGGCGAAAAGAACCCCGGCGAGGGGAGUGAAAAAGAACCUGAAACCGUGUACGUACAAGCAGUGGGAGCCUCUUAAUGGGGUGACUGCGUACCUUUUGUAUAAUGGGUCAGCGACUUAUAUUCUGUAGCAAGGUUAACCGAAUAGGGGAGCCGAAGGGAAACCGAGUCUUAACUGGGCGUUAAGUUGCAGGGUAUAGACCCGAAACCCGGUGAUCUAGCCAUGGGCAGGUUGAAGGUUGGGUAACACUAACUGGAGGACCGAACCGACUAAUGUUGAAAAAUUAGCGGAUGACUUGUGGCUGGGGGUGAAAGGCCAAUCAAACCGGGAGAUAGCUGGUUCUCCCCGAAAGCUAUUUAGGUAGCGCCUCGUGAAUUCAUCUCCGGGGGUAGAGCACUGUUUCGGCAAGGGGGUCAUCCCGACUUACCAACCCGAUGCAAACUGCGAAUACCGGAGAAUGUUAUCACGGGAGACACACGGCGGGUGCUAACGUCCGUCGUGAAGAGGGAAACAACCCAGACCGCCAGCUAAGGUCCCAAAGUCAUGGUUAAGUGGGAAACGAUGUGGGAAGGCCCAGACAGCCAGGAUGUUGGCUUAGAAGCAGCCAUCAUUUAAAGAAAGCGUAAUAGCUCACUGGUCGAGUCGGCCUGCGCGGAAGAUGUAACGGGGCUAAACCAUGCACCGAAGCUGCGGCAGCGACACUAUGUGUUGUUGGGUAGGGGAGCGUUCUGUAAGCCUGUGAAGGUGUACUGUGAGGUAUGCUGGAGGUAUCAGAAGUGCGAAUGCUGACAUAAGUAACGAUAAAGCGGGUGAAAAGCCCGCUCGCCGGAAGACCAAGGGUUCCUGUCCAACGUUAAUCGGGGCAGGGUGAGUCGACCCCUAAGGCGAGGCCGAAAGGCGUAGUCGAUGGGAAACAGGUUAAUAUUCCUGUACUUGGUGUUACUGCGAAGGGGGGACGGAGAAGGCUAUGUUGGCCGGGCGACGGUUGUCCCGGUUUAAGCGUGUAGGCUGGUUUUCCAGGCAAAUCCGGAAAAUCAAGGCUGAGGCGUGAUGACGAGGCACUACGGUGCUGAAGCGACAAAUGCCCUGCUUCCAGGAAAAGCCUCUAAGCAUCAGGUAACAUCAAAUCGUACCCCAAACCGACACAGGUGGUCAGGUAGAGAAUACCAAGGCGCUUGAGAGAACUCGGGUGAAGGAACUAGGCAAAAUGGUGCCGUAACUUCGGGAGAAGGCACGCUGAUAUGUAGGUGAAGCGACUUGCUCGUGGAGCUGAAAUCAGUCGAAGAUACCAGCUGGCUGCAACUGUUUAUUAAAAACACAGCACUGUGCAAACACGAAAGUGGACGUAUACGGUGUGACGCCUGCCCGGUGCCGGAAGGUUAAUUGAUGGGGUUAGCGGUAACGCGAAGCUCUUGAUCGAAGCCCCGGUAAACGGCGGCCGUAACUAUAACGGUCCUAAGGUAGCGAAAUUCCUUGUCGGGU